GUGAGGAAUAUUGGUCAAUGGGCGAGAGCCUGAACCAGCCAAGUCGCGUGAAGGAAGAAGGAUCUAUGGUUCGUAAACUUCUUUUGCAGGGGAAUAAAGUGCGGGACGUGUCCUGUUUUGUAUGUACCCUGAGAAUAAGGAUCGGCUAACUCCGUGCCAGCAGCCGCGGUAAUACGGAGGAUCCGAGCGUUAUCCGGAUUUAUUGGGUUGAAAGGGUGCGUAGGUGGUUUGAUAAGUCAGCGGUGAAAGUUUGCAGCUUAACUGUAAAAAUGCCGUUGAAACUGUCGGACUUGAGUGUAAAUGAGGUAGGCGGAAUGCGUGGUGUAGCGGUGAAAUGCAUAGAUAUCACGCAGAACUCCGAUUGCGAAGGCAGCUUACUAAGCUACAACUGACACUGAAGCACGAAAGCGUGGGGAUCAAACAGGAUUAGAUACCCCUGUAGUCC
Molecule: ribosomal RNA, 445 nt
Filed under: uncultured bacterium
Lineage: Bacteria
Description: partial 16S ribosomal RNA
Rfam family: Bacterial small subunit ribosomal RNA
Source: RNAcentral